RNAcentral lists this ribosomal RNA (269 nucleotides) under uncultured bacterium. RNAcentral's name for it is "partial small subunit ribosomal RNA". It matches the Rfam family "Bacterial small subunit ribosomal RNA", at positions 26 to 291 of the family's 1533-position model. The record is from RNAcentral.
AGGACAAACGCUGGCGGCGUACCUAAGACAUGCAAGUCGAACGGAUCAUAUGGUUUCGGCCGUAUGGUGAGUGGCGGACAGGUGAGUAACGCGUAGGAACCUGUCAUCAAGUGGGGGAUAACGCUGGGAAACCGGCGCUAAUACCGCAUGAGGUCGCAGCAAUGCGAAGAAAGCUUUUCGCGCAAGUGGAAGGCGCUCGAUGAGGGGCCUGCGUCCGAUUAGCUUGUUGGUGGGGUAAAGGCCUACCAAGGCAUCGAUCGGUAGCUGGU